This is a long non-coding RNA of Carassius auratus (goldfish), 520 nucleotides long. RefSeq lists it as uncharacterized. The record is from RefSeq and is a predicted model, not a curated record. The transcript is spliced from 3 exons. NCBI's taxonomy places the organism in Eukaryota, Metazoa, Chordata, Actinopteri, Cypriniformes, Cyprinidae.
GAAGAUGUUUUCAUACUGAAGAAGAGACCUUGGACAAAUACUGAAACCCUCUUGGUGCCCACUACACAGACUAAUGAAAUUGAAGUAUCCAAAUGAAGACCCUAGCAGUAUGGAGUAUAUGGAUACAGACGUUGCCAGCAGUCAGGAGGUGAUCCAGAAGACUCAUGGGAAUCUAUUUGAAGCUGCAUCAUUGAAGACAGUCCAGCAGAAGUUGGAGUUUUAAAGGAUAAAGUUCUUCAGGACCUAUAGCAGUUUACAGUCUGUAAAACCAUGUUACUGGGACUGAUUUAUGGACUGAACUUGAGCAACCCUCCUGAACUCAGGUACACAUUUGGAAUACUGAAGAAGUUAUUUCUGGAGCCACUUCCUGUUCCUGGAAUAAGGUUUGAUUGGUUGCCCAUGAAUGCCAAUUAGAAUUGUAUUUGCUAUUUUGUGUAAUUUUGUAAUGUGGUUUAAACUGUAUUUUACUGUGUGUAAUUAUUUAUUGCUUGUUUAACAAAUACACUUUGAUCAUUUGUGA